AUCCUCUUGGUGUGCACCAGGCGAGAAAACUAUACAUUGCUGGAAACACUGAUAAGGGGACACGGAGUGCCAGCAUCAUUUCCUGGCGCUCCGAGAGGGUAAAAAACACACUUUAGCAAGGGCCGGGCAAGACCGGUGCCAGCCGUCGCGGUAACACUGAUGGCCCGAGCUGUCAUAGCUAUUAUUGGGUAUAAAGGAUCGGUAUCCGGUAAGCUCAGUUCUCCGGGAAAUGUGAUCAAUCAAUCAAUGGGCUUUACGGGGAUACAUCCAGUAUCGGAACCCUGAGAGGCAUGGGGUAUUACAGGGGUAGGAGUGAAAUCUCGUAAUCCGCAGGGGACCACAAGGGGAGAAGGGGUGUUACCAGAACGGAUUCGACGGUGAGGGAAGAAAUCCGGGGGCACGAACCGGAUAGGAUACCCGGGUAGUCCCACCCGUAAACGAUCCUCCCUAGGUGUCAGACACAGGCGCGACCGUGUCAGGAGCCGCAGGGAAGCCAAGAAACUAACCACCUGCGAAGUACGGCCGCAAGGAUGAAACAUAAAGGA
This 545-nucleotide ribosomal RNA is filed under the name uncultured archaeon. RNAcentral's name for it is "bacterial SSU rRNA". It matches the Rfam family "Archaeal small subunit ribosomal RNA", at positions 319 to 863 of the family's 1478-position model. The record is from RNAcentral.